GUAGGUGAACCUGCGGAAGGAUCAUUACCGAGAAUUGGGUCGUCCGUGCCUCGUGCCCGGCGCCCGACCUCCCAACCCUGUGUCUACCCAACCGACCCAUGUUGCUUCGGCGGACCGGCCUCGUCCCUGCCCUCCUCGCGGGGGGGAGAGACGGUGGCCGCCGGGACCGUCACACGUCCUGGAGCGCCGUCCGCCGACGGCCCAACCGAAAAAUUCUUGUCGUAACCUGUCGUCUAAACAUAUUUUUAUUAUGUAAACCAAAAAAUUUACAAGCAAAACUUUCAACAACGGAUCUCUUGGUUCUG
RNAcentral lists this unclassified non-coding RNA (305 nucleotides) under rhizosphere metagenome. Its description in RNAcentral is "partial ribosomal RNA internal transcribed spacer region". The record is from RNAcentral.